This 253-nucleotide ribosomal RNA is filed under the name uncultured Lachnospiraceae bacterium. Its description in RNAcentral is "partial 16S ribosomal RNA". It matches the Rfam family "Bacterial small subunit ribosomal RNA", at positions 524 to 776 of the family's 1533-position model. Lineage: Bacteria; Bacillati; Bacillota; Clostridia; Lachnospirales; Lachnospiraceae. The record is from RNAcentral.
UACGUAGGGGGCAAGCGUUAUCCGGAUUUACUGGGUGUAAAGGGAGCGUAGACGGUUUUUCAAGUCUGAAGUGAAAGCCCGCGGCUCAACUGCGGAACGGCUUUGGAAACUGAGGGACUAGAGUGCUGGAGAGGCAGGCGGAAUUCCGUGUGUAGCGGUGAAAUGCGUAGAUAUACGGAGGAACACCAGUGGCGAAGGCGGCCUGCUGGACAUUAACUGACGCUGAGGCGCGAAAGCGUGGGGAGCAAACAGG